Long non-coding RNA from Bubalus bubalis (water buffalo), 2014 nucleotides. RefSeq lists it as uncharacterized. The transcript is spliced from 7 exons. Lineage: Eukaryota; Metazoa; Chordata; Mammalia; Artiodactyla; Bovidae. The record is from RefSeq and is a predicted model, not a curated record.
CCGCCCUUCACCUUUUUGUGGUGUAACCUGUCUUUUCCUGGAGUGCACUGAAACUGCUGCUGCUAAGUCGCUUCAGUCGUGUCUGACUCUGUGCGACCCCAUAGACAGCAGCCCACCAGGCUCCCCCGUCCCUGGGAUUCUCCAGGCAAGAACACUGGAGUGGGUUGCCAUUUCCUUCUCCAAUGCAUGAAAGUGAAAAGUGAAAGUGAAGUCGCUCGGUCGUGCACUGAAACUAGUCUUCACCAAGUACCGCACUCCUAUUUAAGCUUUCUACUCCCGUCCUACUCUGCUUUUUACCACUCCUCUUACCCUGAGAGCACUUUCUCAAUCGCUUUUAUGAAUCUUCAUUUCAGCCCCCACUACUCAGGAACCUGAUGCGAAGAGCUGACUCAUUGGAAAAGACCCUGAUGCUGGGAAAGAUUGAGGGCAGGAGGAGAAGGGGACGACAGAGGAUGAGAUGGUUGGAUGGCAUCACUGACUCAAUGGACCUGAGUUUGGGUGGACUCCAGGAGUUGGUGAUGGACAGGGAGGCCUGGCGUGUGCGGUUGAUGGGGUCGCAGAGUAGGCCACAACUGAGCGACUGAACUGACUGAACUCAGGAACCCAAUUUAAGAGCACUGGCUUCAGAAGUGAACUUUAGAAACCCCCUGUGAGGCUGCGAUUCUGGAGCUGGCUUGCUUGCCCUGUGGAUGGCCGUGAGGAGAGACCUCAUUUUCCUGCAAUGGGCGUUCGAGUAUGUGGACAUUUUAUACACACCAGCAGCAGUUCUACAGCUUAUACUGUUUCCGAUCAUCUCAUGAAUAAUCACCAGAGGCUUGGCUUCCUCUCCAUGCUCACCUGUCUGUUGGGGGUCUGUGGCCUGCCUUCACUGGGAGACCGGGACUGACGGCGCUCUGGGGACUCCCAGUCGGCCUGGGUCCCUCGCUCCUCGGAGUUGCAGCGGGAGACGUCAGGAGAGAGAAGAUGCUUUCGCUCUUUCGAUCGUCCCCGCUCUCUGCCCCCCGAGCGGUGGGUGUCGGACUUGUGGCCUAUGAGAGAUGAAAAAGCAGUGAAUCAUAACUCUACCCAUCCUGGCUGCUGAACAAUUCUUACAGUCUGGGACCGAGCCUCUCAAGGACCCUGACUUCUUCAGGCAUGUCAACAGGUGAUCUGAAAGGGAGGCAGAAAAGGCUGGAAAAUUAACUUUUUGUGAAGAGUUCUCAUCAGGAUCAGCCCUUCGAGAGCAGGAGCACCGCAGAGAGUGAAGACCUUCUCACCUGAGUCUGAGUUCAGACGGUGGGCUGACAGCCUCAGGGAGGAGUGGUAACUCCGGCGCCGCGACUUGUAGGUGUUUUCGCUGCUUCGCUCCAUGGAGAAUUCCUCCAGCCACGAGGAAUUUGAACGCUUAUCGCGAAUGGUGGAAAAUGAACGUCUCAUGGAGCUGGGGUCUGUCACCACCUGGAAACAUGAGCCCCCGCCCCGCCCAGGAACACAAGAGAUUGUUGUUCCUGGAACUGUCCAUCAUCAGCUGGGUCCAUACAGGCUAACUGGAAUAUUUCCUGCGGGGAGAGUGGACUCAUCGAAGGGUAUGCACUCCGGCCACUCCUGCAAAGCAAUGCCACGUUCAGAGGUGUAAACUCAGUGAGAGAGGAGCACAGUCAUGUUCACCACGCUGCCCCCAGAGCAGUCACUGCUUGAACCCUACAGGGCUUGAGAAACACAGCUGGUCCCGAGGAACACCAGCGCUGCUCCAUGAAUGUCUCCAUUUCAGAAGAUGGGCCAUCAUCUGCCUAAAGCUCAAACCAGAAACCCAAAGGGCUCCCUAUCUCUCGAGCUGGCCACGGCACCAAUAUGUGCUCAGCCUGCUUUUGUGUUACUCCCCGCUGAAUAGCCAUUGUAAGAUACAACACGUUGGACUUCUCUGCUGGUCCAGUGGUUAAGAACCCACCUGACGAUGCAUGAGUUUGAUCCCUGGUCAGGGAAGAUUUUACAUGUCAUGGGGCAACUGAGCCCAUGCUCCCUAGAGCCCAUGUUC